GCCCCGGUGGCGGAGUAGGUAGACGCUACGGACUUAAAAUCCGUUGGCCGCAAGGCCGUGCCGGUUCGAUUCCGGCCCGGGGCACCA
Molecule: transfer RNA, 87 nt
Filed under: Gammaproteobacteria bacterium
Lineage: Bacteria; Pseudomonadati; Pseudomonadota; Gammaproteobacteria
Also listed under: 2 other names
Description: tRNA-Leu
Rfam family: tRNA
About the family: Transfer RNA (tRNA) molecules are approximately 80 nucleotides in length. Their secondary structure includes four short double-helical elements and three loops (D, anti-codon, and T loops). Further hydrogen bonds mediate the characteristic L-shaped molecular structure. tRNAs have two regions of fundamental functional importance: the anti-codon, which is responsible for specific mRNA codon recognition, and the 3' end, to which the tRNAs corresponding amino acid is attached (by aminoacyl-tRNA synthetases). tRNAs cope with the degeneracy of the genetic code in two manners: having more than one tRNA (with a specific anti-codon) for a particular amino acid; and 'wobble' base-pairing, i.e. permitting non-standard base-pairing at the 3rd anti-codon position.
Source: RNAcentral